AUAAAUGCUUGGAAGGGAACAAAGUAGUUCUUGCAUGUUGCUUAAAGAGAGCUGAUGGUUGGUGAAAAUCAGUACACUUGCAAGGAGCGAAUUUCAUUCUUGGAGCAGCUUAUUCAGCGUAGAAUAAGACGGUUAUCAAUCGUUAAAACAAUGAAGUGGUAAGCUUAUUUGUUUGCAAAUAGGGUGGUAACGCGAUAAUUAAAUCGUCCCUACU
RNAcentral lists this non-coding RNA (214 nucleotides) under Heyndrickxia shackletonii. RNAcentral describes it as "Bacillus shackletonii T-box sequence". It matches the Rfam family "T-box leader". From Rfam's summary of the family: Uncharged tRNA acts as the effector for transcription antitermination of genes in the T-box leader family. T-boxes are found upstream of many aminoacyl-tRNA synthetase genes and some amino acid biosynthetic genes usually in Gram-positive bacteria. The record is from RNAcentral. Lineage: Bacteria; Bacillati; Bacillota; Bacilli; Caryophanales; Bacillaceae.